CAUAUUGAUCAGAUGCUUCAGUGCUCUGAGAGUGUUUAUAGUGCUGUGAGUUUAACACUUCAUCACUGACACACACAACAAUCUUCAUCAACAUGACCUUCAUCAUCAUCUUCAUCUGGACACUUUCAUACUGCUUUAUACUACAAGGGUGUAAAGCUCAGAUCACAGUCACCCAGACUCCUUCAGUGAAAACUGCCACACCAGAAGAACGUGUUGAGAUGAGCUGUAAAUUCAGUUCUGCUCCAGCCUGCAGCCCACCCUGUGUGUCCUGGUACUUACAGAAACCCGGAGAAGCUCCUAAACUCCUGAUUUAUUAUACAAACCGCCUCGAGUCAGGAACUCCAUCUAGAUUCAGUGGCAGUGGAUCUGGGACUGAUUUCACUCUGACCAUCAGUGGAGUCCAGACUGAAGAUGCUGGACAUUAUUACUGUCAGAGUUACCACUACAUCAACAGCCAAUAUGUGUUCACACAGUGAUAAAGAGUCGUACAAAAACCUCCGUCAG
Non-coding RNA from Onychostoma macrolepis, 504 nucleotides. The record is from the annotation of a RefSeq genome assembly. Lineage: Eukaryota; Metazoa; Chordata; Actinopteri; Cypriniformes; Cyprinidae.